This 422-nucleotide ribosomal RNA is filed under the name uncultured archaeon. RNAcentral describes it as "partial 16S ribosomal RNA". It matches the Rfam family "Archaeal small subunit ribosomal RNA", at positions 323 to 746 of the family's 1478-position model. The record is from RNAcentral.
CUACGGGUCGCAGCAGGCGAGAAAACUUUGCAAUGUGCGAAAGCACGACAAGGUUAAUCCGAGUGGUUUGUGCUAAACGAACCUUUUGACGGUCCUAGAAACACUGUUGAAUAAGGGGUGGGCAAGUUCUGGUGUCAGCCGCCGCGGUAAAACCAGCACCUCAAGUGGUCAGGAUGAUUAUUGGGCCUACAGCAUCCGUAGCCGGCUCUGUAAGUUUUCGGUUAAAUCUGUACGCUCAACGUACAGGCUGCCGGGAAUACUGCAGAGCUAGGGAGUGGGAGAGGUAGACGGUACUCGGUAGGAAGGGGUAAAAUCCUUUGAUCUAUUGAUGACCACCUGUGGCGAAGGCGGUCUACCAGAACACGUCCGACGGUGAGGGAUGAAAGCUGGGGGAGCAAACCGGAUUAGAUACCCGAGUAGUC